This 241-nucleotide ribosomal RNA is filed under the name uncultured bacterium. Its description in RNAcentral is "partial 16S ribosomal RNA". It matches the Rfam family "Bacterial small subunit ribosomal RNA", at positions 15 to 248 of the family's 1533-position model. The record is from RNAcentral.
GAUCCUGGCUCAGGAUGAACGCUAGCUACAGGCUUAACACAUGCAAGUCGAGGGGCAGCAUGAACUUAGCUUGCUAAGUUUGAUGGCGACCGGCGCACGGGUGAGUAACACGUAUCCAACCUGCCGAUGACUCGGGGAUAGCCUUUCGAAAGAAAGAUUAAUACCCGAUGGCAUAAUUCUUCCGCAUGGUAGAAUUAUUAAAGAAUUUCGGUCAUCGAUGGGGAUGCGUUCCGUUAGGUUG